RNAcentral lists this ribosomal RNA (289 nucleotides) under uncultured bacterium. RNAcentral's name for it is "partial 16S ribosomal RNA". It matches the Rfam family "Bacterial small subunit ribosomal RNA", at positions 773 to 1060 of the family's 1533-position model. The record is from RNAcentral.
GUGGAUUAGAUACCCGAGUAGUCCACGCCGUAAACGAUGAGUACUAGGUGUUGCGGGUAUUGACCCCUGCAGUGCCGCAGCUAACGCAUUAAGUACUCCGCCUGGGAAGUACGGUCGCAAGACUAAAACUCAAAGGAAUUGACGGGGGCCCGCACAAGCGGUGGAGCAUGUGGUUUAAUUCGACGCAACGCGAAGAACCUUACCUGGGCUUGACAUCUGUGGAACCUGGUGGAAACAUCGGGGUGCCUUCGGGAGCCACAAGACAGGUGCUGCACGGUCGUCGUCAGCU